GUGUGUUUCAGCCACUGGAGCUGAGAGACCCCGGCCCGGCCACCUGGCCAUGCAGACUUGACUGGCACCAUCAUUCCCAGCUCACAGCAGCAGCAGAGGCAGCUGGAUGCCCAUUCCUGCCAGCCAAUCCUUAUCCGACUGCCGGCCCGUCAGCCAGAGUCAGAGGCUGCCUUCCCCAUGGAGCAGGGACUGUCGGUGGCCUUCCCCCUCUCUCAGCCCCACGUGGAGCCUAGGCUGGUGCUGAGUUGCCUGCUCCCUGCUUGGAGGUCAACUUCCAUCCAGUGCUUCACUCUAGGACAGGUCUGCACUGAUCUCUCCCACCAUCGC
This 327-nucleotide long non-coding RNA is filed under the name Homo sapiens (human). Its description in RNAcentral is "HSALNT0238809". Lineage: Eukaryota; Metazoa; Chordata; Mammalia; Primates; Hominidae. The record is from RNAcentral.